AGGGUUUGAUUCUGGCUCAGGACGAACGCUGGCGGCGUGCCUAACACAUGCAAGUCGAACGGAACUGUUUUGAAAGAUUUCUUCGGAAUGAAUUUGAUUUAGUUUAGUGGCGGACGGGUGAGUAACGCGUGAGUAACCUGCCUUCAAGAGGGGGAUAACAUUCUGAAAAGAAUGCUAAUACCGCAUGACAUAUCGGAACCACAUGGUUUUGAUAUCAAAGAUUUUAUCGCUUGAAGAUGGACUCGCGUCCGAUUAGUUAGUUGGUGAGGUAACGGCUCACCAAGACUGCGAUCGGUAGCCGGACUGAGAGGUUGAACGGCCACAUUGGGACUGAGACACGGCCCAG
Molecule: ribosomal RNA, 346 nt
Filed under: uncultured bacterium
Lineage: Bacteria
Description: bacterial SSU rRNA
Rfam family: Bacterial small subunit ribosomal RNA
Source: RNAcentral